Molecule: ribosomal RNA, 402 nt
Filed under: Triticum aestivum (bread wheat)
Lineage: Eukaryota; Viridiplantae; Streptophyta; Magnoliopsida; Poales; Poaceae
Description: partial small subunit ribosomal RNA
Source: RNAcentral
AUGAAAAAUGUGUUUACUGUUUCAAUUAAAGGUAAAGGUGGUGGCUUAGCUGUAUUUUGGGAUGAGUGUUUUACUAUGGAGUUAAACAAAUUUGGUGAGCAUUUUAUUGACAUGUAUAUCUCAAAUAGUGAUGGUUCAAAAUGGAGAUGCACUUUUGUUUAUGGAGAACCGAAGGCAAGUCAAAGGUAUGUCAUGUGGGAGCUCCUAAGACGGGUAAAAUCUCUUGGCUUUGGUCCAUUGUUUUUGGUGGGUGAUUUUAAUGAAGUAAUGUGGCAGCAUGAGCAUUUUUCUCGGCAUAAGAGGUCUUCUAAGCUCAUGGCAAACUUCCGCGAGAUUCUUUCAGAAUGCAAUCUAUUUGACUUGGGAUUUCAUGGGUUGCCAUGCACCUAUGAUAAUAAGCAG